RNAcentral lists this ribosomal RNA (446 nucleotides) under uncultured bacterium. RNAcentral describes it as "partial 16S ribosomal RNA". It matches the Rfam family "Bacterial small subunit ribosomal RNA", at positions 354 to 796 of the family's 1533-position model. The record is from RNAcentral.
GUAGGGAAUAUUGGGCAAUGGAGGCAACUCUGACCCAGCCAUGCCGCGUGCAGGAAGACGGUCCUCUGGAUUGUAAACUGCUUUUGAAUGGGAAGAACAUACGGUUUGCGAACCGUACUGACGGUACUAUUAGAAUAAGCACCGGCUAACUCCGUGCCAGCAGCCGCGGUAAUACGGAGGGUGCAAGCGUUAUCCGGAUUUAUUGGGUUUAAAGGGUGCGUAGGCGGCCUUAUAAGUCGGUGGUUAAAGGUAGCAGCUUAACUGUUUUACAUGCCAUCGAUACUGUAGGGCUUGAGUGAUUUGGAGGUAGCUAGAAUUCCCUGUGUAGCGGUGAAAUGCAUAGAUGCGGGGAGGAAUACCGAUUGCGAAGGCAUGUUACUACGAAUUAACUGGCGCUGAGGCACGAAAGCGUGGGGAUCAAACAGGAUUAGAUACCCUGGUAGUCC